GUCCAGACAGAGUCAGCUGCUCUAUCUUCUCUCUCAGCCUGAACAUUUCGGCAAGAUAGAACAGCUGCCUCCGGUAAGACAAGGGAUGGCGGUCUGUGUCUGUUUGUAAAUAACAGCUAGUGCACAAAAUCAAAUAUUAACGAAGAUUUAGCUCGCCUGAUGUAAGAGUAUCUAAGCUUCCCUAACAUCAGCUGCCUGUUGGAUAAAGAAUACAUGGGUUUAUCACAAAGGGGUCCCAUAAGUAGGGGAUGCUGCAGCACCCUCAGCACUGCUACGUCCGGUGGCUAUGCAUUGAAGAGGAGUGGGACAACAUUCCACAGGCCACGAUCAACAGCCUGAUCAACUCUAUGCCAAGAUGUAUCACGCUGCAUGAGGCAAAUUUGAG
Long non-coding RNA from Oncorhynchus kisutch (coho salmon), 385 nucleotides. RefSeq lists it as uncharacterized. The transcript has 3 exons. The record is from RefSeq and is a predicted model, not a curated record. NCBI's taxonomy places the organism in Eukaryota, Metazoa, Chordata, Actinopteri, Salmoniformes, Salmonidae.